Bos taurus (domestic cattle) is the source of this 2178-nucleotide long non-coding RNA. Lineage: Eukaryota; Metazoa; Chordata; Mammalia; Artiodactyla; Bovidae. The record is from Ensembl.
GCUGCUCCUUGCGCAGUCGCACUACCGCUGCUUUUAGGUCGCGUCCCGCUGGUGGUCGAGGUCCGCGCAAAUAAAUGUCUUAACCACUCAAGAAAGGAGCUAAUGGAACCGAGACAUCCAGCGCCUCACUUGGUGAAGUGCUUGUUGAAUGAAUGAGCAGAUGUUGCCACCGAAGCUUGGUGCCAUUGAGAACUACCUGACUGCCUAGAUCCUUCUUGGGACUACCUUAAAAAAAAAGAGAGAGAGAAGGAGCGCCAGGAGGAGAAGCCCUGCAAAGUGCAGCUGGACACCUCCACGCCUGACCGAGAAAUACUGGGGAUAGUGAUGCUCAUGGAGACGCUCGAAUCCGACACUGGAAUUGCAAACUAGGAAGUUUGUUGGCUUGGCACUGCUGUUCUCAGUCCACCAUUUAAAAAUGCUCUGAGCCCAACAUCUAGAAAUCUCACUAACGACCCUCUGGACUCAAAAAAUGAGGUUACAGUUUGUUUCCCCUUCAUUUCCUAUAGAAAUGUCCCUCAUCAGGUGCCUGACUGCUGACACCAUAUAAAGGCUGGACUUAAGCAGGCUCCCGCUCCUGCCUGCAGCACAGCUUCCUAAAAUGAAACACAGCUGUUUCACCGAGUGACUCCUUCCUGGGUCUGAGAGACUGAUUCAUUAAGACAUGGGCAGGAGACUUAGGUUUGUUCUUUUCCCCUUCUUCCAUUUAGGCUUUUCUCUGCCUCUGCAGAUCUCUUAUUUUGCUACUUCUCAUUCCAGUCUCUUUGCACAGCUGCCAACUCAACUUUUAAUAUAUGAUACUUACGUUUCAAAUGGGAAAGUGAGGGAUUUAGGGUAUUCUACCCCAAAAUAUGCCAGACUGGCAUGAGGAUUAUUUUGAAUUGAAGGCAGUUAAGAAGGAACAGACACAAGAAAAGCUCUCUGUCCUCCCCUUCUUUACCAGGAAGGACAGAACGAUUCUUAAUCACCAGAGACAACUCUACACUCUUAGCCGGGAGACACCACCAGAGAAAUCGACACAAUGCACUUUGCUAAGAACUGUAUUUUCCAUUUGUUUUCCCCAUAUUCUUACCUUUCCACAAUUUGCCACUCCUAGAAGCUCAGAGUACUUCUCCUUUGUCUUGUCACUUCUCUACGAAUUUAAUGUUCUUUUGUGAUGCUGUGUCCGUACCCUCUUAAAUCUGAGGUUCUGAGACUGACGUACCCAUAGGCUAGAAUGAAUGUGACACUGGGCCAGGUUCCAGGCCCAGGAUUCGAGACACUGGUCUGAUUCUGGGGGCACUCGCCCUGGGAAUUCAGCCUCUGGGUUGUGAAGUCCAGAAAGCCCUGUGGAGUGAGCAGUCCUUGUGAUGAGGAAUCAAAGCUCCUAGCUGGUAGCCAGCGCUAACUUGUUGGCUGCGUGAUGCACCAUCUUGAAAGUGGAUUCUAGUUGAGUUGCCCCAGAGGCCGCAUGGAGCACAGAGAAGCCAUCCCCGCUGAGUCCUGCUCAGCUUAGGUUUGUGGCAGAAUACACGAUUAUUCUUAAGCCAUUAGGGUCUGGGCUGGUUCGUUACACAGCAGUACUCCGUCUCCCUCGAGCACUUGGGUCUCCUGUCCAAGUGCGCAGGUGCCCACCUGGAGGUUCCCCUCCCACCACUCUCCCUUUGCCUCUGUUCUGUUGGCUGGUGAGCUGCACUGGGCUUAGAGCAGUGUGCAUAUGUUUUCGUGUGUGCUCAGUCGAGUCUGACUCUUUGUGACCCCAUGGACUGUAGCCCACUACAGUCCAUGGGAUUUUCCAGGCAAGAAUACUGGAGUGGGUUGCCAUUUCCUCCUCCAGAGGAUCUUCCUGACCCAGGGAUGGAACCCGAGUCUCCUGCGGCUCCUGCACUGCAGGUGGGUUCUUGAACUGAGCCACUGAGCAGUUAGUGGCCAAGGUGGCCUCAAUAGGGGACAGGUAUUAGGAGGGUCAUGCAGAGGGGACUCCGGCUGCCUCAGCAAGAACAGAACAGAACAAACUCUGGCCUCUGAGUCACCCACUGGCAGCUCAAAGCCCGGCCUGCUGGAACAUAAACACAUAGAGAAGAUGGAAUGCGUUGAGCUCCUGCUGAACCUGUCUCAGUCAACAACCGGGCAAUGAGGGCUUCAGCUGACCCAGGGGACAAGCUGCCAAAGCAUUUAAACAACCUGAUACCUCUUUUUUUC